RNAcentral lists this long non-coding RNA (980 nucleotides) under Homo sapiens (human). RNAcentral describes it as "HSALNT0335193". Lineage: Eukaryota; Metazoa; Chordata; Mammalia; Primates; Hominidae. The record is from RNAcentral.
AGUGGGGCAUGCUCCGUUGAGACUUUAUUCACUCUGGGCAGUUUGUUGAAGAUUAGGUGGUCAGCUCACAAUGAAUCAUAAGCUGCUUUUGUCCCUUGCUGUCUAUGCUUAGAAGCUAAAAGGUUAAGCAGCGAUGUCAGCGCUAUCAGGGAGCUGUGGAGACUGGAAUUGAAGUUCAGAACCUUUCAUGGGAGACAGCUCAGAUGUAUUUCUGUGCAAAACUUGUCUCCAAGGAAGACUCUAAUCUUCUAAACUCUGGAUUUAUAUGAUUUCUCAAUAUGCUAUAUCAACCUCAUUUUGCUAAUAAUGAUACAGGACGGAGGCAGCAAAGUUCUGGAUAGAGAAGGAUGGGGUCCCUGGUGAGGGCUCCACCCUCAGGCCUGUGCCCAUGGACCUAAGUAUGGACAAGCACUCCUGUUUUUGCACCCAAAUGUUGCAUUUUCCAAGACCACUCUGACCCAACACAUGCUCCAUCCUGUGCUUAUAAAAAUCCCGAGACCCUAACAGGCACACACAGAAGUGGCUGGACGUUGAGAGGAGCAGAAGAGCACACUGACAGACACCAGCAAAUGCUCGCAGGCCAUCGAGGGCAGGAUGAGGAUGACUUGGAAUUUGGCAGGGGAUGAUUAGAGGAGAGUCUGGCCACUGGGCAGCCAACUCCACAUUCCCACUUAAUCCUCCUUCUGUUCUCCCCAUCCAUCUUGCUGAGAGCUACCUCCGCUCAAUAAAAUCUUGCACCCACCCUCAAAGCCUAUGUGUGAUCCAAUUUUUCCGGUACAUGAAGGCAAGAACCCAGGAUACAGAAAGCCCUCUGUCCUUGUUGAGCUAAUUAACAAAAGCCACUUGCAGAUGGCAAAACUGAAAGUGCACACUGUAACACAUGCCCACUGGGGCCUCAGGAGCUGUAAACACUCAAGCCUAGAUACUACCAUGGGAUUGGAGCCCAAAAUGCUUUCCACAGCCUCCCUGACUGCAUGCUC